UUAUGUGAACCUACCUAUUGUUGCUUCGGCGGACUCGCCCCAGCCGGACGCGGACUGGACCAGCGGCCGCCGGGGACCCUCAAACUCUUGUAUUAUCAGCAUCUUCUGAAUACGCCGCAAGGCAAAACAAAUAAAUCAAAACUUUCAACAACGGAUCUCUUGGCUCUGGCAUCGAUGAAGAACGCAGCGAAACGCGAUAAGUAAUGUGAAUUGCAGAAUCCAGUGAAUCAUCGAAUCUUUGAACGCACAUUGCGCCCGCCAGCAUUCUGGCGGGCAUGCCUGUUCGAGCGUCAUUUCAACCCUCGACCUCCCUUUGGGGAAGUCGGCGUUGGGGACCGGCAGCACACCGCCGGCCCUGAAAUGGAGUGGCGGCCCGUCCGCGGCGACCUCUGCGUAGUAAUCCAACUCGCACCGGAACCCCGACGUGGCCACGCCGUAAAACACCCAACUUCUGAACGUUGACCUCGAAUCAGGUAGGACUACCCGCUGAACUUAAGCAUAUCAAUAAGCGGAGGAA
RNAcentral lists this ribosomal RNA (517 nucleotides) under Beauveria asiatica. RNAcentral's name for it is "eukaryotic LSU rRNA". The stretch from base 140 to 293 matches the Rfam family "5.8S ribosomal RNA". The record is from RNAcentral. Lineage: Eukaryota; Fungi; Ascomycota; Sordariomycetes; Hypocreales; Cordycipitaceae.